ACGGGUGCGUAACACGUGGGUAAUCUGCCUGGGAGAUCGGGAUAACCUGCCGAAAGGCAAGCUAAUACCGGAUAAGCCCACGAGGUCUUUGGACCUCGAGGGAAAAGAUGGCCUCUGUAUACAAGCUAUCACUUCCAGAUGAGCCCGCGGCCCAUCAGCUAGUUGGCGGGGUAAUGGCCCACCAAGGCGACGACGGGUAGCUGGUCUGAGAGGACGAUCAGCCACACUGGAACUGAGACACGGUCCAGACUCCUACGGGAGGCAGCAGUGGGGAAUUUUGCGCAAUGGGCGAAAGCCUGACGCAGCAACGCCGCGUGUGUGAUGAAGGUCUUCGGAUCGUAAAGCACUUUCGACCGGGACGAAAACCCGCUGGCUAACAUCCAGCGAUUUGACGGUACCGGGAGAAGAAGCACCGGCUAACUCUGUGCCAGCAGCCGCGGUAAUACAGAGGGUGCAAGCGUUGUUCGGAAUUAUUGGGCGUAAAGCGCGUGUAGGCGGCCGUGCAAGUCGGGUGUGAAAGCCCUCGGCUUAACCGAGGAAGGGCGCCCGAAACUGCAUGGCUUGAGUACCGGAGAGGAUGGCGGAAUUCCC
Molecule: ribosomal RNA, 591 nt
Filed under: uncultured bacterium
Lineage: Bacteria
Description: bacterial SSU rRNA
Rfam family: Bacterial small subunit ribosomal RNA
Source: RNAcentral